This 859-nucleotide long non-coding RNA is filed under the name Medicago truncatula (barrel medic). RNAcentral describes it as "lncRNA gene41944". The record is from RNAcentral. Lineage: Eukaryota; Viridiplantae; Streptophyta; Magnoliopsida; Fabales; Fabaceae.
AUGAAACCAAACACCCUACAUCAUCAAAACGCUACAAACAUAAAAUCAACAAACCAUUCACAUUCAGAGUCAGAACAGAACAUGUUAUAUUAUCUCAAGAUUAUAGUAACUUAAACAUAAUGAUAAUCGAACCAUAAAAUCAACAAAUUAGAAAUUCUGCUAUUGAUUUCAACACCACCAAAAUUCUCCAAAACAAAAAGCAAUACAUAAGACUCAAAAAUUUCAUAAAAAUUAAACAUAAAUUAAAAACAAUUUUAUUUCUUAAUCAUAUCAUCAGGUACCAUCCUAAGCUGCUUCCUCUGCUUAGACUUAGCAAUCUUCUUCAAAGUUUUCGGAUUCGUAAUCUUCUGAAACUUCGUUCCAGAUUUCAAAACAUUCUCCUUCUUCCUCUUCUCACUCUCUUCUCUCUUCUUUCUCUUCUCCACCUUAUUCAUCCUUAUCGCCUCUUUCAACUCCGUCAUCUUCUCCUUAUACGCCGUCUUAAUCCUCUUCUCUCUCGCUCUCUCCUCAAACGUAGUCCCUUUCUUGCUCACCUGAAGAGCUGAAGCGCGACGAGUACGGACUUGCUUCCAUUUUCUGCCGGAGACUUUUCCGGCGAUGACCCCGUCGUAGGUUGGGGCACCGAAGGAGACUGCGGAGAAGGUGGGUUUGUUUGGAUCUGAUAAGGAUGGGAGAGCGGAUCGCUUAGCUGGUGGAGGAGCGGUGUCGUCGGUUUCCAUGGAUACGAUUUCUUCCAUCUUAGCGUCUUCGAUUGCUUGGGCUUGUUCGCGUUUGCGUUUGUAGGUUUUGCCGCCGAAGCCUUCAUCGAGGUGACGGAAAUCAAUGGUGCAGGCCAUUGUUGAUGUGAGAAGAGAGUGAA